RNAcentral lists this long non-coding RNA (533 nucleotides) under Fukomys damarensis (Damara mole-rat). RNAcentral describes it as "lncRNA (ENSFDAG00000028852.1)". The record is from RNAcentral. Lineage: Eukaryota; Metazoa; Chordata; Mammalia; Rodentia; Bathyergidae.
UUCAGAACUUUUCCAGGUUCAGUCAAUGUCCGAGCUAUUGAGCCAAGUGUUAUUUUCAGCUCCAACAGCUCCCUUGUUUUGCGAGUUCAGCCCAGACAGGAAACCACCCAGUCUGGGAGGAUUCAGUUAGAUCCCGAAAGAGCACGCACACUCAGGUCCCCCUGGUCUUCUCACAACCCUGCCUAGCGGACACAAGGAAAUCCAACACCUGGCUCAGGUGCAGAGUCAGCCAGGUCUGUAGAUCUACAGCAUCUCAUCAGGAUGCAAAACUUCAAUGGACUCAAAGCCAGACUCUCAGCUUGUCACCUGGGUGAAGGUGAGGGGGGGACACGCAUAUCAAGAUCACAUAAUGAGGAUACAAGAUCUCUAUGGCCUGCCUACUCUUUCAAGCUAAAGAACAUUUUUAUCCUUCUUCCUCAUUGUGGCAGAGACCAAGAGGAAAAGAGAAGAAAGAUAGGGAGAUGGAAAGGGAGAGAGAGAAAAGGAGUGGGACGGACACUACAGGCUCUUCAGGUUAAAUGAGCGUUGCCCCA